RNAcentral lists this small nuclear RNA (104 nucleotides) under Myotis davidii. The record is from RNAcentral. Lineage: Eukaryota; Metazoa; Chordata; Mammalia; Chiroptera; Vespertilionidae.
AUGCUUGCUUCGGCAGCACUUACACUAAAAUUGGAACGACACAGAAGAUUAGCAUGGCCCCGGGCAAGGAUGACAGGCAAAUGCGUGAAGUGUUCCAUAUUUUU